AACGAACGCUGGCGGCAGGCUUAACACAUGCAAGUCGAACGGGCGUAGCAAUACGUCAGUGGCGGACGGGUGAGUAACACGUGGGAAUAUGCCUUUCGGUUCGGAACAACUCGGGGAAACUCGUGCUAAUUCCGGAUACGCCCUUACGGGGAAGGAUUUAUCGCCGAAGGAUUAGCCCGCGUUGGAUUAGCUAGUUGGUGAGGUAAUGGCCCACCAAGGCGACGAUCCAUAGCUGGUUUGAGAGAACGACCAGCCACACUGGGACUGAGACACGGCCCAGACUCCUACGGGAGGCAGCAGUGGGGAAUCUUGGACAAUGGAGGAAACUCUGAUCCAGCCAUGCCGCGUGAGUGAUGAAGGCCUUCGGUUGUAAACUACUUU
Molecule: ribosomal RNA, 381 nt
Filed under: uncultured bacterium
Lineage: Bacteria
Description: bacterial SSU rRNA
Rfam family: Bacterial small subunit ribosomal RNA
Source: RNAcentral